UACGGAGGUGGCUAGCGUUGUUCGGAAUUACUGGGCGUAAAGCGCGCGUAGGCGGACUAUUAAGUCAGGGGUGAAAGCCCGGGGCUCAACCGCGGAACUGCCAUUGAUACUGGUAGUCUGGAGUUCUGGAGAGGUGAGUGGAAUUCCGAGUGUAGAGGUGAAAUUCGUAGAUAUGCGGAGGAACACCAGUGGCGAAGGCGGCUCACUGGCUCGAUACUGACGCUGAGGUGCGAAAGUGUGGGGAGCAAACAGG
Molecule: unclassified non-coding RNA, 253 nt
Filed under: uncultured Rhodobacterales bacterium
Lineage: Bacteria; Pseudomonadati; Pseudomonadota; Alphaproteobacteria; Rhodobacterales
Description: contains 16S-23S intergenic spacer region
Rfam family: Bacterial small subunit ribosomal RNA
Source: RNAcentral